RNAcentral lists this ribosomal RNA (528 nucleotides) under uncultured Glomeromycotina. RNAcentral's name for it is "SSU rRNA". It matches the Rfam family "Eukaryotic small subunit ribosomal RNA", at positions 570 to 1094 of the family's 1831-position model. Lineage: Eukaryota; Fungi; Glomeromycota. The record is from RNAcentral.
GCAGCCGCGGUAAUUCCAGCUCCAAUAGCGUAUAUUAAAGUUGUUGCAGUUAAAAAGCUCGUAGUUGAAUUUCGGGAUUGACACAUCGGUCGUGCCUUAAGGGGUAUGAACUGGUGUAGUCAAUUUCUCACCUUCUGGAGAACCGCGAUGUCCUUAAUUGGGUGCCGCGGGGAACCAGGACCUUUACUUUGAAAAAAUUAGAGUGUUUAAAGCAGGCAUUUUGCUUGAAUACAUUAGCAUGGAAUAAUAAAAUAGGACGGAUGAUUCUAUUUUGUUGGUUUCUAGGACCACCGUAAUGAUUAAUAGGGAUAGUUGGGGGCAUUAGUAUUCAAUUGUCAGAGGUGAAAUUCUUGGAUUUAUUGAAGACUAACUACUGCGAAAGCAUUUGCCAAGGAUGUUUUCAUUAAUCAAGAACGAAAGUUAGGGGAUCGAAGACGAUCAGAUACCGUCGUAGUCUUAACCAUAAACUAUGCCGACUAGGAAUCAGACGAUGUUAAUUUUUUAAUGACUCGUUUGGCACCUUACGGG